RNAcentral lists this transfer RNA (71 nucleotides) under Mycoplasmopsis gallinarum. RNAcentral's name for it is "Mycoplasma gallinarum tRNA". It matches the Rfam family "tRNA". Rfam says of the family: Transfer RNA (tRNA) molecules are approximately 80 nucleotides in length. Their secondary structure includes four short double-helical elements and three loops (D, anti-codon, and T loops). Lineage: Bacteria; Bacillati; Mycoplasmatota; Mycoplasmoidales; Metamycoplasmataceae. The record is from Rfam by way of RNAcentral.
GCUGAAUUCGCUUAGUGGUAAAGCAACUGACUCGUAAUCAGUCGCCACGAGUUCGAUUCUCGUAUUCAGCA